AUGAAAGAACUAAUGGGAGGUAGCUGUCUCCCAGGGUAUUAGUACUAAAUUAGUAAGUAAGUGAAAAUACUUACAGAGAGAAAAUAGACGAGAAGACCCUAGAAGCUUGCUAUUUGUUUUGUUGGGGCGACAGAAUUGCAUUUAAACCAAUUUUAUAGAUGUGACGUAGAGCAGGAAAAUUAAGCUACUCUAGGGAUAACAGCAUAAUAAAAUUUGUUUGUGACCUCGAUGUUGGACUAGGAAGAAUAGUCCUUAGAAGGGACUAAAAAUGCUCUGUUCGAGCAGAUUAACCUACA
RNAcentral lists this ribosomal RNA (296 nucleotides) under Cepaea nemoralis (banded wood snail). RNAcentral's name for it is "partial 16S ribosomal RNA". Lineage: Eukaryota; Metazoa; Mollusca; Gastropoda; Stylommatophora; Helicidae. The record is from RNAcentral.